RNAcentral lists this long non-coding RNA (1604 nucleotides) under Mus musculus (house mouse). RNAcentral's name for it is "predicted gene, 56525". The record is from RNAcentral. Lineage: Eukaryota; Metazoa; Chordata; Mammalia; Rodentia; Muridae.
GCAGGCUCUAAGCAGGAGGCCAGGUGUGUGUGUGAGCCUUGUUGGGCUCAGUCUGCCAUUUCUCGGCCUGCCAGCAGGGCGGGUUCCAGCUCUUUCCUUGGUUCCUGGUUGCUCUGCCAGUCGGUUCAGGCCCGUGGGGUUCCCUGCCCCACACUCACUCUAAAACCUCCUCCCGGAGAUCGCCCAUGGUUCCUCGGGCACCGAGGCUGCUUGUGCGCACAGAAUGAUGGCUGGGGCAGGGACUAUAUUUGCUCCUUGGGAAGAAAAGCUAGACCUGCUGUGGGAAGGUUCCACACAUAGUAAGCCAAGCAUGGGGCUGAGUGCAGAGAAGGCCAAGGCCCCUUCCCAGGAGAAGCUGUCCAAGCGAAGACCUGCCAGCCGAGUCCACGGGGCAAGAAUAUAUUGUCCACUGGCAAAGGAAUACGUGGGAAGGGAGAUGGUGCAAACAUUUUCAGCAUGUGCAAAGGCCCCGGGGCAAGAAAAUGUGUAUCCUGUAGCUAAAGACUCCAGUAUGGCUGAGCUGUUGUGUAUGGAGCCCCAUGUAGAGGGAACGCUGGUUUUCUACUGUAGGAUCUUGUUUGAUGCUUGGCUUUUGACAGCUACUACAGGGAGCACUGAAGCCCAGAGGGCCUCUCGUUUCUUCCUCUGUCAAGGUGCGUGCGUUCGUGCGUGUACUCUGGGACACUGAGGCAGGAUCCCUUCUUUGUCACAAGACCCCCUUUGCCCUUCACCCCCGACUUUGCCCCAGCGCUUGACCAUGAAGCCGGGUGGCACAGCCGGCUGCCUGUGCCUGCUUGAGGACCUGUGGUUGCAGAAACAGCUGGAGGGAAAUCAAUUUGUUCUUUGCUACAGUCAGACAUGAACCAAUUAGAGCUGCCCCAUGGGGCCUCUGUGCUCAGGGAGAGAGAACAAGCCCGGGCCUGUUAAUCCCUGCUCCCACCUUCUACCAGCCAGCAAAGUGAAGGGUGCAGCUGGAGGAGGGCCAAGCCUGCUCCCUCCUCACCGCUCCCCUGGAUCUGUGGUUGACCUUUGACCUUCCACUCCAUGCCCAGCGUCUGGGUGAUUUCAGAGGUGCCUUGGGGCUAUGCAGAAGUGGUGGCCCGAAGAGCACCCACCUCAAACCCCCAACACCAGGACUGGCCUCCGUUCUCAGAGCAUCCAUCCAACCCACCAACUCCACCCAUACUGGACAGAAGAGGUGCAGUGCACAAUGUAACGGAUUUCGUGUCUCUCUUUGUGCCACAGAGAGGCCCAGGGAGGGGCACACGCAUCAAGCAUGUUGAGGAGGCUCAGCCAGGAGCGUUCAGGGUUAAAAAAGACCUCCUCAGCAGGAUGCAUUUGGGGUUGGGGGCAGGAGCUGAGAUGUCCCUCUUCGAGGCUCCCUCAUGCCAGCCCUAUCAAUGUCUGUGAGAACUGGAGUGUGCCAGCUUCCUGCCUCCUUGUUGUCCAAUGUCCAAUGGGAACUUGUGAGAGUCCGCUGUCAAGACAGUUCUUCCUCUGGCCACUCACCAUGGUUUUCUGCCCCUGCUAACCUCAUCCCUACAAGCUGUAUCUAUGUCCCUAGCCAGCGCUAGCCCACCCUAUGGCUCCAGGCUGUCGGAAGU